Non-coding RNA from Pelobates cultripes (western spadefoot toad), 1602 nucleotides. NCBI's taxonomy places the organism in Eukaryota, Metazoa, Chordata, Amphibia, Anura, Pelobatidae. The record is from the annotation of a GenBank genome assembly.
AUGCUAGAGGGAGUGGGGUAAAAUGACACAAAAAAGGUAAGGAUAGUAUUAGACUAGUGACAGUUGCAGAAGAGGAAUCAGUCAGGAGCUAUUAACAGUUUAAUUGAUACGCUUUUAUGAAGAAGUGGGUUUUUAACGAUUUUUUGAAGGAGUGGAGACUGGGUGAGCAUCUAACGGAGGAGAGAAGUGAGUUCCACAUGAACAGUGCAGCCCUCGAGAAAUCUUGAAGGCGAGCAUCGGAGGUGGGAGUACGGACAGAAUAUAGAUGUAAGACUUCAGCAGAUCGUAAGAGCCUAGACGGGACAUACUUGUGUAUAAGGGAGGAUAGAUAGGUGGGAGCAGCAUUAUGUAGCGAUUUGAAAGCAAGAACCAGAAUUUUAAAUUGAGCUCUAUAUUUUAUAGGAAGCCAAUGUAGGGACUGACAGAAGGGUGAGGCAUGGGAGGUGCGGGCGGACAGGAAGAUGAGCCUCGCUGCCACAUUCAUUAUGGACUGUAACGGCGCAAGUUGGGAGCACGUAAGACCACUGAGAAGCGGAUUACAGUAGUCAAGGCGAGAAAGGACAGUGGAAUGGACCAACACCAUAGUCGCAUCUGGCGUUAAGUAGGGGCAGACGCGCAAUGUUUUUGAGAUGGAAAUGACAGGAUUUGGUGAUAGAUUGAACAUGAGGCUUGAAGGAGAGGUCGGAGUCCAAUAGAACACCUAGACAGCGAGUCUGCGUGGUGGAGCUGAUGGUAGCACUGUUGACUUAGAGGGAGACAGACACAGGAGUAACAACACUUGAGGGAGGAAAGACCAGAAUUUCAGUUUUGGUCAAGUUUAGUUUAACCCCUUAAGGACCAAACUUCUGGAAUAAAAGGGAAUCAUGACAUGUCACACAUGUCAUGUGUCCUUAAGGGGUUAAGGAAGUGGGCAGCCAUCCAGUUGGAAAUAGCAGAGAGGCAGUCAGAGACACUAGUCCUACCAGGGUCUGUUUAUUCUAACCUUUCUGAGUUUAUCAGGCGAUCCUCAUCUCCGGCAGGUGCUGGCUUCUUCUUUGAAUUGAAGAAAGAGGGUGAUCUCAGAUCCUGUAUAGACUAUAGGGAUCUGAACAAGAUCACGGUGGGGAACGUAUAUCCAAUUCCACUUAUCACAGAGCUUUUUGAGUGCCUAAAAGGUUCCAAGUGGUUCCCUAAACUGAAUCUCAGGGGGGCGUAUAACCUGGUCAGAAUAAGAGAACAAGAGGAGUGGAAAAUCGCUUUCAACACUCGUGGCGGCAACUAUGAGUAUUUUGUGAUGCCCUUCAAGCCUGUGUAACGCCCCUGUUGUCUUACAGGACUUUAUCAAUGAUGUCUUCUGAGAUUAUUUGCACGUAUGUGCUAUAGUGUAUCUGGACAACAUAUUGGUAUACUUCCCUGAUAAAGAAAUAUGUCAGCUCAGUACUAAACAAACUGCUAGAAAAUGGUCUGUAUUGCAAGUUAGAGAAAUGCCUCUUCGAUCAGACCUCUGUGCAGUUCUUGGGGUACAUAAUUUCUGGGAAGGGUUUCAGUAUGGACCCUAAUAAACUGGAAGACAUCAAAACUUGGCACUUCCACAGGGACUUAAGGCCAUACAAAGGUUCAUGG